This 458-nucleotide ribosomal RNA is filed under the name uncultured bacterium. RNAcentral describes it as "bacterial SSU rRNA". It matches the Rfam family "Bacterial small subunit ribosomal RNA", at positions 349 to 793 of the family's 1533-position model. The record is from RNAcentral.
CAGCAGUGGGGAAUAUUGCUACAAUGGGCGCAAGCCUGAUGCAGCCAUGCCGCGUGUAUGAAGUAAGGCCUUCGGGUUUGUAAAGUACUUUCAGCAGUGAGGAAGGUGGGUAUGUUAAUAGCAUACUCAUUUGACGUUAGCUGCAGAAGAAGCACCGGCUAACUCCGUGCCAGCAGCCGCGGUAAUACGGAGGGUGCGAGCGUUAAUCGGAAUUACUGGGCGUAAAGCGCAUGCAGGUGGUUUUGUUAAGUCAGAUGUGAAAGCCCGGGGCUCAACCUCGGAAUUGCAUUGAAACUGGCAAACUAAGAGUACUGUAGAGGGGGUAGAAUUUCAGGUGUAGCGGUGAAAAUGCGUAGAGAUCUGAAGGAAUACCGGUGGCGAAGGCGGCCCCCCUGGACAGAUACUGACACUCAGAUGCGAAAGCGUGGGGAGCAAACAGGAUUAGAUACCCCUGGUAG